RNAcentral lists this ribosomal RNA (492 nucleotides) under uncultured bacterium. RNAcentral's name for it is "partial 16S ribosomal RNA". It matches the Rfam family "Bacterial small subunit ribosomal RNA", at positions 29 to 507 of the family's 1533-position model. The record is from RNAcentral.
AGUGAACGCUGGCGGUAGGCCUAACACAUGCAAGUCGAACGGCAGCACAGUAAGAGCUUGCUCUUAAGGGUGGCGAGUGGCGGACGGGUGAGGAAUACAUCGGCAUCUACUUUUUCGUGGGGGAUAACGUAGGGAAACUUACGCUAAUACCGCAUACGACCUACGGGUGAAAGCAGGGGAUCUUCGGACCUUGCGCGACAGAAUGAGCCGAUGUCGGAUUAGCUAGUUGGCGGGGUAAAGGCCCACCAAGGCGACGAUCCGUAGCUGGUCUGAGAGGAUGAUCAGCCACACUGGAACUGAGACACGGUCCAGACUCCUACGGGAGGCAGCAGUGGGGAAUAUUGGACAAUGGGCGCAAGCCUGAUCCAGCCAUACCGCGUGAGUGAAGAAGGCCUUCGGGUUGUAAAGCCCUUUUAUUAGGAAAGAAAAGCAGCAGGUUAAUACCCCGCUGUUCUGACGGUACCCAAAGAAUAAGCACCGGCUAACUUCGUG